RNAcentral lists this long non-coding RNA (241 nucleotides) under Gossypium barbadense (sea-island cotton). Its description in RNAcentral is "long non-coding RNA (GBAR_LNC009053)". Lineage: Eukaryota; Viridiplantae; Streptophyta; Magnoliopsida; Malvales; Malvaceae. The record is from RNAcentral.
UCAAAACAUAAGGAUCUAUUAGUGCAUGAAAUAAAAAGGGUGGACUUGCAUGUCAAUUUCCCCCCUAAUUAGUAGUGGCCAGCCAUGAGCAUGAGAGUGGACAAAAUGUUAUGGGGUGAAACAUGUUGGAAACAUGUUGUGUUAGUGUGUUAUGGGAGAAAGAAUAUAAUAAAGGGUUAGUAAUAAAAAAAUGAAAAGGGAGGGGUGAUGAGAACAAAGUUGUCUCAUCCAUGUUCCCCCC